UUAGCUAUGGGAGAAAGACGAGUUCCACUUGGGCACUUCUCUGUCUUCGCUAAUCAUCAGAAGGGAGGGGGAAAAAAAAAGGCAGAGAGCGGGUGGCCAAAGUCAUCCCCUCUAAAAAACCACAAACUCGCCAAAAUCGUGGGUUAACAGAGCCGUGGGCAGAAACGUUACUUUGUUUUGAAGCAAGCGGAGCUGGCCUUUUAACGGAGGGGCGGGCUGAGCAAGCAGAGGCGCCAAGCCCCGUGUGUGCUCACAGGGCUCGCCCGCAGCGUGAGGAGAACCAACCAGUCCCUCUGGCGGAGAGAGGCAAGGCCAGUGACCGACGUGGAACCCGGAACGCGCUCAGGCCUGAGAGGCGGAAGCUUCAUACCUUAAGAUUCACCCUCCAACCUCCCGGGACCAAACCAGGAUUCCGCGCCCUAGAGCGUAGGGCUCCCGUCGGCCACCGUACUGGACUGAGGGGACCGCUGGCUGCGAAAGGAAACCCAGAGGCGUCGGCGUCGCGGCGACGGUGCGCGUGCGCGUGCGCGUGCGCGGCCCCACCCCUUCCUCCCCGCCGUUGCCCCGCGUAACUACAUCCCCUCCCUCGUUGACAACGGAGCUUCCAGGGUCUUCGGCGAAGCGCGCCCGCCGUCUGUGUCCCUUUUCGAUUGAGCGCUUAAGCUCCUCCAAGCUGAAGUUUCGCUACCCCGGGAUUUUUGUAGCACUUGAAUAAGCCAAUUCCUGGUUCAAUCUGUGUGCAUUUAGCACCUUCUGUUUACCAGAUACCGUGCUACAAGCUGGAAACAAAUAUCUUACAGAGCUAGAACUUCAUACCAUAUAGUUUCCAAGGCUUUCACAGAGUGAUAAUCUUCUAAUAAAGUGUGCUUUCAGCAUUAAAAAUCAGCAAAGGAGGGAUCCCUGGGUGGCGGAGCGGUUUAGCGCCUACCUUUGGCCCAGGGCGCGAUCCUGGAGACCCAGAAUCGAAUCCCACGUCGGGCUCCCAGUGCAUGGAGCCUGCU
Long non-coding RNA from Canis lupus familiaris (dog), 1001 nucleotides. RefSeq lists it as uncharacterized. Lineage: Eukaryota; Metazoa; Chordata; Mammalia; Carnivora; Canidae. The record is from RefSeq and is a predicted model, not a curated record. The transcript has 3 exons.